AAGCAGUGUUUGUGAAUGGGAAGUUCUGUAAGGACCCAAAGCUUGCCAAUGCAAAUGAUUUCUUCUUUUCUGGCCUCCAAAAUCCAAGAAACACACAAAAUCCGCUUGGUUCAAAUGUGACAGCCGUGAAUGUGGACAACCUACUAGGACUGAACACUCUCGGCAUAUCCUUGGCUCGCAUAGACUUUGCACCAAAUGGCCUAAACCCUCCUCACACUCACCCUCGUGCCACUGAAAUCCUUGUGGUCUUGGAAGGAACACUCUAUGUUGGUUUCGUCACAUCCAACGGUGAUGGCAAUCGCCUAUUCACCAAAGUGUUGAACAAGGGAGAUGUGUUUGUGUUCCCAAUUGGCCUCAUUCACUUCCAACUCAAUGUGGGACACGUCAACGCUGUAGCCUUUGCUGGGCUUAGCAGCCAGAACCCAGGAGUGAUCACCAUAGCCAAAGCAGUGUUUGGCUCCCAGCCUCCCAUCAACCCUGAUGUUCUAGCCAAGGCCUUCCAAGUGGACGACAAUGUGGUUGACAAUCUUCAGAAACAGUUCUGGUACGACAACAAUUAGUAAAAUACAACAAAUAAUUAUAAGGCCAAGGAAAGAACAACCAAUCGAUGUGCUUGGUUGGAUGUAUUAAGUUGGCCAAUAUGUUUUUCACUACGUACCUACAAUAAAUUACUAUGAUGUAAUAUUAAUUGAAUAAGAUUGUUGGAUACUUACCCUCUGGGUUUUGAAAUAACAUAAUUUCAUACUUUAGUUUUGAAAUAACAUUAUGCAUUAAUUCAACAAAGUUAUUAUGACAGCUUAAUAAUACUAAAAUGGAGGAGCCUUGCCAUUUUAACAUUGAUAAAUUUGGCCCAUGCUCUAGGGCAAAUCAAGUAGAAAUUUCUCUCUCUCGAGGACAGCUAUUUGCGUGCAAUUAGUGCAGACAUUAAAUUCAACCGUUGGAUCGAUUUUAAAAGGUUACAUGUGUUAGAAUUCAAAGCUUCUAGUAAUUAGUUUUGAAUAUUUUGGAUGUUUGGGAGGAAGGAAGAAAUCACAGAGAGAGAAUGAAGAAGAGAACGUUGCUCUGAAUAGAAAAAUGGAGAUUACUUUUCAUUUCUACUCCACUAGCCAAUAUAUCGUCAGGAAAGAGAGAGAAGUGAGAUGCUUCUCUAACAGAUUUACAUCAAGAUUGAAUCCUUGCCAUUGCUCCUAUCAUCCUAUGAGAUGCUCACAUUUGUCACAAGCUAUCACUUAAAUCCUAGGCUAGAAACAGAGUCCACUUGGACUAUGAUCCAAUGGCUCACAUUACAAACAUAAAUUAAAACAUAUAAAAUGAAAUUCAAAAAACUUUGUGACUUUGGCUCCAAGGUUUUCAGCUCAAGGGUUACACAUCAACAACAUGUAGAAUCUGGUAAAAGAAAACACAAAUAAACCUAACUGAGACCCAGUGACCCACACAAUCAUCUUCUCUUUCCUCUUUCUCUGCCUUCUUCUAUUUUCCUCUCCUUCUCCUAUCCUCUCUCUUUGGGCAUUCAAAUUGAAAAAUUGAGCUUAAUCGAGCAGAAAAAAAUCGAAAUAACCAAAAAUCAGACCGAGUUAACCAAAAACUGAACUAGACCGGUUUGGUCCGAUUUCAAUUCCAGUAUCUUGUAGUGAAAAAAGGGACCGGGCGAACCGAACAGAUUGUGGUGAAUUUCAGACAACGGUUUUUUUUUUUUUUUUUUUCAUCUUCUCAUAAUCUUCAUAUCUGUUUCACAUUUUCUUCUCCCUUCUCAUCUCUCUCUACUUUCUCACUUUGAAAAUUCAAUAAUCUACGACCGUAACAACUCGGGUUAUUAAAAAUAUAUAUAUAUAUAUAUAUAUAUAUAUUCGACUUACUAAUUUCCAUAAAAAUUAAAUGACACAUUUGUGUGUUUGAAAUAUUACUGGAGGGACUGUUUAAGAGCUACUCAGUCAUGUUGGUAAACAUCAUUUGAAGUUAAGCAGCAUCAGAUUGAAUUCAGGUGUGCCUGCCAAUUAUCUGAAUAACAUCUGUGUUUUAGGAUCAAAAAGAAAACAUAACAAGAAAAAAAAAAAAAAAAAAACACCACCAGCUAACCCCAACGGGAAAAUAAUCAGGAGCAGCGGCUGCUUUGAGCAAGACCAGUUUUUUUUUUAAUCGGUGGACUGACUGUAAAAUUUUAUAUCGAGGCAAAUUGUCACCAUCAAUGUUAAUAUAUAAGGAAACGAAUUUCAUUCUCUUUGUAGAAUGAAUCCAUAUAUAGCAUAAGCAUUGAACAUUUCCAUUGGUUAAAUACCACCUAAUUAAAAAAAAUAAAUAAUUAUCUCCUAACUACUCUUUUUUUUGGUACAACUCCUAAUACCUGGUCUUUCAUCAUCAUAAUUAUAUGAAUAUAUUCUCCCUCAACUGACCUUGUCUUAUAAUUAAACAACCCUAAUAACCCUUUACAAAAGGUAACUUAUUUUAUUGAAACACCAAACAGUAGAGCUGAGUCAAAGUUCUUCAAAAUUCUAUCACAACUGAAUUUUCUUUUUCUAGUGCUAAAAUAUAUGUAGGAAAUUUAUUGUUCAAUAGUUAAACUUAAAGGUGAGAUUUUGUCAAAUACCAAGUCUUGACUUGCCUCUAAAUACCCCUAUCUCAAGGGUAAGAAAAUGACCAAAAUACCCCUAUCUCAAGGGUAAAUUUGUAAUUUCCCUUAAAUAAUGUAAAUAACUUAAAUAAAUGGUUAAAUUUGGAGUCGGGGUGUUACAUAAAUACCACCUAAUUAAAAAAAAAAAUAUAAUUAUCUCCUAACUACUCUUUCUUUUUGGUACAAUUCCUUGCAAUGUUAUCGAAUCGGUUUCCUGUAAUUUUGUUACAAUGGAGAACCCUCCUGCUUCUAAUGGUGAUGAGACCCUGUCAAUUAUGGAUUGCUUUGCAGAAGAAAGCAAGUUUCUUGUGAAUGAUAAUGGCAAAAAUGAGUCUCUAGGCAACAUUGCCAACAUCCAAAUAUAAUUUGCAUUGUUUAUCAGAUUAUCUCUAUCAUCAUAGACUUAUAUAUAUGUGAAAAUGCCCUCCAUUUUCCAGGUUGUGCCAGCACAGGUUUUGUUCACUGGUUAGCUAAAAUAUUGUACUUAAAUUCGUUUUAAUCAUAUGUGGGCUUGCUUAGGAGACUUUCAUGGGGGCCCAAACCUAGCUUCAAAGGAUGGCUCAAGCCCAGAAUAUUUUUUUGAUAUUUUUCCCGAAAAGAUAUAAAGCAGGCUUUAUGAUGUUCCUUGGCCCUCAAACACCAAAGCAUACUAGGAGUUGGUAAGGAGGCAACAACCCACCUCUGCAAGCACAACAUGUCAACUAUAUUGGCUGCACAUAAGUAGAGCACAUACUUUUUGGUCGUCCAUUAGAGUUGUUGAAAUAUCAAGAAGAUACAAGAGCACUUCUCCUCAUUCUAAUCCCUCACACACUCAUUUUAGAUGGGGUGAAUACUUUAGUGUAAGUUACAUUGAUCGGUUGAGCAUGAACACUUGUAUUCAUAUGCAUUUGUUUAAGAGUUUUUCCCAUCAAGAAACUCUCUAACAAUCCUUAUUAUAUUAGGUUAGGUUAAGUUAUUUCAAUCCAUAUAGAAUAGGGAAGUAUCACAAGCCUUGUUUAACUUGUACUACACGUCUGCAAGGCUAUCUGAUUGGCUAUUAGUUAAUUUCUUCUGCGUACUUUUAUCAGUUACCACAUGUGCUGAUGUGUUUGCCAUUUUCAUCUUGGCUUUUUCCAGUCAUAAGUAUGCCGAUUUUUUAUUUGGUUAUGUGAAUCUUGCAAUGCCUUUGGUGUUUAUUUGACUAAGAAGUCUUUUUUUUCCUAUUUGUGUUAUCAUUUUAAAACACUCUCUGUGCAUGUGUUGUAGCUUGCCAAUACAUAUUUGCAAAUGCUGUAACUAAUUAGUGCCUUUAUGCUAUCGGAUGCUUCUUUCAGAUAUGUUUGGUUCUUGUCACUGUUUCCUUUACCAUAGCUGGAGAGUAAAGAAAAACCCUGCUUUAUUUUGCUAGUAGUAAUUGUAUUCUAUUAUCCUCUGCUGAUGAGGAUUUUCUUUCUCUUCCUGCUUUCUUGAUAAUGCUCUCUUGUUUUUCCAAUGAGCAAUGAUAUGUUACUGCUUAUAGUAAUAUCUGACUCUUCUCAACUACAGAAUGUCAUUGCUUGAAGCAUGAGUUUUGAACUAGAUGGUGUAACUUCCAUACUGUUAAUACAUUUUAAUUUUUCUUACAUACAUCUGUAUCUGUUGGCUUCCCUAAGUGUAAUGUGUGCAUAUUAUCCUGCAGGAACUUAAUAAUCUCGAACAUUUGGGCAAUGCUACACCUCAUUUCAAUACAAGCAACAUAUAUAAAGGUCUAGGAGACUUGGAAAACUUGGGUAGAGUUGGUGAAGUUGGAUAUAAUUUUUGCAGUGAGCCUGAUUCUAGGAGCCAUUUUCUGGAGCUAUAUGAUCUCGACCAACCUCAGCAUCCUAAUCUCUUCUUUUAGUUAUGUAAUUUUUAUGGCAAGUUUACUUUGCAUUGAUGGUUACCGAUUCCGGAUUUUAUUUUGAUUUCAACUAUAUUAUCCAAUCAUGUAUCCCUUUAUGUUUCUUAGCUUGUAUUACCUUUGCUGCUUUUGGGCUGUUUAAUGAAUUAUUCACUAUUGACCAAAGGAAAAUUCUAGAAGUUUAAAUUUUACCCUGAGCAUUUCCAGAAACACUACUUUUUUUUUGGGUUGCUAAUUCUUAGUUAAAAUGGCUAGAAAGUUAUUUUGAAUGAAAUAAAAAGAGGGAAGGAUUUUGGCGGAGUUAAAGUGGAUUUAGCAUUUCCAGAAAGACUUACUGUUUUCCAUAAAAAGUAAAUGACAGAUUUGUCUCUCAACCACGUAAAAAGUCCCCAACCAAUUCAAGAAAUAUUACUUGCAAAGGGACUCAGUCGAAUUGGUAAACAUCAUUUGAAGUUAAAGCACCAUCAGUCCAGUCGGAUUGAACUGAGGUCUGCCUGCAACUAUCUGAAUAACAACUGUGUUUUAGGACCAAAAUAAGAGCAAAAAAAAAAAAAAGAAAAAAAAAAGAAACACCAGCAGCUAACCCCAAGUGGGAAAACAGAGAGCAAGACCAGUUUCAAACCAGCUAGAAGGUGAAAAAUGAAACAGAAGAAAAAGUCAUGAACUCAAAUUUCGAGGGUGGAAGGACUGUAAAAUUUUAUAUUGAGGCAAAUUGUCACCAUCAAUGUUAAUAGGAGAAUGAGUUUCAUAAUUCAUUCUCUUUGGCAGAAUGAAUCCAUUCCAUAUAUAGCAUAAGCAUUGAUCAUUUCCAUUGGUUAAAUACCACUGGGUUUAAACUUAUAAUAUUAAGUAGAAGAAAAAAAAGAAGCAGCAAUUAAUUUGAAGUAAAAGAUUCAAACCCUAAACUAUAUGGAUCUGGAAGGAAGAAAAUUAAUAUAAAAUUUUGGUCAAUAUAUACCUUCUAGUUAAACUUAAAGGUGAGAUUUUUUCAAACAUCAAGUCUUGACUUGGUUCUAAAUACUAAGUAUAUAUAUAUAUAUAUAUAUAUAUAUAUAUAUAUAUAUAUAUAUUCAAAUCCUUACCUGCUUCGACAUGGAAAAUCAUAUCCAAGAGUACAAGACCAGUUCAUUCUCCCCAGUCUAUAAAUAGGCUUCUAACCCAUGAAGGAUUUUCAUCUCACACCCUCAAACCAAAUCUUUAUUACGUACCUAGCAAAUUAAGCCAACUGCAAUGAAAGGUGUUUAUUUCCUCAUAAGCACUCUUGCCAUAUUGGCAUCUGCAACUUUCCUUGUCUCUGCCUCUGACCCCAGUCCUCUUCAGGACUUCUGUGUAGCACUCAAUGACACCAAAUCUGCUGGUAUGCAUUAAUAUAUACUUGUGUUAAUUAUUUAUAUUCUGCCCUGCAAUUAUUCCCACAUGAAUUAUUUUCAUUAGAUAUUAGUUUUAUGAAGAUCGUUUUUCUGUUAACUAUAGCUUCUUCUCAUGCAUGAAAAAUCUAUUAGUACGUAAUUUUACAUAUGAAUAAUGCUAUUUGCACUGCAUUUACUGGGCAUCUUAAUGAUCAUCUCUCUGAUAUACAUUAAAGUGGUUUCCACUUACGUACGUGGAUUUUACCUCCGAAUAGCUCUAACACUAAAGUUUAAUAUAAAUUUUUUUUGGGUUGUAGAAGCAGUGUUUGUGAAUGGGAAGUUCUGUAAGGACCCAAAGCUUGCCAAUGCAAAUGAUUUCUUCUUUUCUGGCCUCCAAAAUCCAAGAAACACACAAAAUCCGCUUGGUUCAAAUGUGACAGCCGUGAAUGUGGACAACCUACUAGGACUGAACACUCUCGGCAUAUCCUUGGCUCGCAUAGACUUUGCACCAAAUGGCCUAAACCCUCCUCACACUCACCCUCGUGCCACUGAAAUCCUUGUGGUCUUGGAAGGAACACUCUAUGUUGGUUUCGUCACAUCCAACGGUGAUGGCAAUCGCCUAUUCACCAAAGUGUUGAACAAGGGAGAUGUGUUUGUGUUCCCAAUUGG
Molecule: long non-coding RNA, 6484 nt
Filed under: Prunus persica (peach)
Lineage: Eukaryota; Viridiplantae; Streptophyta; Magnoliopsida; Rosales; Rosaceae
Description: long non-coding RNA (PPER_LNC007680)
Source: RNAcentral